AGUGAACGCUGGCGGUAGGCCUAACACAUGCAAGUCGAACGGCAGCACAGGAGAGCUUGCUCUCUAGGUGGCGAGUGGCGGACGUGUGAGGAAUACAUCGGAAUCUGCCCAGUCGUGGGGGAUAACGUAGGGAAACUUACGCUAAUACCGCAUACGACCUUCGGGUGAAAGAGGGGGAUCGCAAGACCUCUCUCGAUUGGAUGAGCCGAUGUCGGAUUAGCUAGUUAGCGGGGUAAUGGCCCACCAAGGCGACGAUCCGUAGCUGGUCUGAGAGGAUGAUCAGCCACACUGGAACUGAGACACGGUCCAGACUCCUACGGGAGGCAGCAGUGGGGAAUAUUGGACAAUGGGCGCAAGCCUGAUCCAGCCAUACCGCGUGGGUGAAGAAGGCCUUCGGGUUGUAAAGCCCUUUUGUUGGGAAAGAAAUCUUUCAGGCUAAUACCCUGGGAGGAUGACGGUACCCAAAGAAUAAGCACCGGCUAACUUCGUG
RNAcentral lists this ribosomal RNA (490 nucleotides) under uncultured bacterium. RNAcentral's name for it is "partial 16S ribosomal RNA". It matches the Rfam family "Bacterial small subunit ribosomal RNA", at positions 29 to 507 of the family's 1533-position model. The record is from RNAcentral.